GGGUUGUUAGCUCAGUUGGUAGAGCAGCGGACUCUUAAUCCGUAGGUCGUAGGUUCGAGCCCCACACAGCCCACCA
RNAcentral lists this transfer RNA (76 nucleotides) under Moraxellaceae bacterium. RNAcentral describes it as "tRNA-Lys". It matches the Rfam family "tRNA". Rfam says of the family: Transfer RNA (tRNA) molecules are approximately 80 nucleotides in length. Their secondary structure includes four short double-helical elements and three loops (D, anti-codon, and T loops). Further hydrogen bonds mediate the characteristic L-shaped molecular structure. tRNAs have two regions of fundamental functional importance: the anti-codon, which is responsible for specific mRNA codon recognition, and the 3' end, to which the tRNAs corresponding amino acid is attached (by aminoacyl-tRNA synthetases). tRNAs cope with the degeneracy of the genetic code in two manners: having more than one tRNA (with a specific anti-codon) for a particular amino acid; and 'wobble' base-pairing, i.e. permitting non-standard base-pairing at the 3rd anti-codon position. Lineage: Bacteria; Pseudomonadati; Pseudomonadota; Gammaproteobacteria; Moraxellales; Moraxellaceae. The record is from RNAcentral.